Molecule: ribosomal RNA, 253 nt
Filed under: uncultured bacterium
Lineage: Bacteria
Description: partial 16S ribosomal RNA
Rfam family: Bacterial small subunit ribosomal RNA
Source: RNAcentral
GACGGAAGGUGCAAGCGUUGCUCGGAAUCAUUGGGCGUAAAGGGUGCGUAGGCGGCUUGGUAGGUCUGGUGUGAAAGCCCCGGGCUCAGCCCGGGAAGGGCACUAGAAACUGCCAAGCUAGAGUGCCGGAGGGGAGAGUGGAAUUCCUGGUGUAGCGGUGAAAUGCGUAGAGAUCAGGAGGAAUACCGGUGGCGAAAGCGACUCUCUGGACGGCAACUGACGCUGAGGCACGAAAGCGUGGGGAGCAAACAGG